AAGUCGUAACAAGGUUUCCGUAGGUGAACCUGCGGAAGGAUCAUUAUAAAAUUUUUCUUGCAUAUUUUUUUAAAAUGUGUAAAAAAAAAAUCUUGUAUUCAAAACCCACACUCUUUAAAACCCAUAAUAAAAAAAUUUUUUAUGUUAUAUACAUGAAAUUUUUUUAUUUAAAAAUAAUAUAAUAAAAAGACAACUUUCAACAACGGAUCUCUUGGCUCUC
This 220-nucleotide unclassified non-coding RNA is filed under the name fungal sp. RNAcentral describes it as "partial internal transcribed spacer region". The stretch from base 1 to 46 matches the Rfam family "Eukaryotic small subunit ribosomal RNA", at positions 1786 to 1831 of the family's 1831-position model. The record is from RNAcentral. Lineage: Eukaryota; Fungi.